Molecule: ribosomal RNA, 207 nt
Filed under: uncultured bacterium
Lineage: Bacteria
Description: partial 16S ribosomal RNA
Rfam family: Bacterial small subunit ribosomal RNA
Source: RNAcentral
UCCGUAGGGGGUGGAAUAAGUCGGGUGUGAAAGAUUCGGGCUCAACCCGGAAAUGGCACUCGAAACUGUGCCACUAGAGUCCAGGAGAGGAAAGUGGAAUUCCCGGUGUAGCGGUGAAAUGCGUAGAUAUCGGGAGGAAGACCAGCGGCGAAGGCGGCUUUCUGGCCUGGAACUGACCCUGAGGGACGAAAGCCAGGGGAGCGAACG